CCCUGCUCGUGCUCGACACGCCAGAUCGACAGCCGCCAAUCCCUGCGUUCGGCCUCCUUCCACUGCUCGGUCAUGGUGUCCGAGUUCUGGGCCGGGGUUGUGCGCGUGGCCUCGUCGGUGGUCGCGAACUCGCCAAACUAGCACCCUAGCCACCAACCUCCGUUCACCUCGACGACGGAACGUGUCACUGCUCCAUCCAUGGCUGCGAGUCUACCUCCGCCGAGCUGCCAGUCUCUAGCUCCUCCGGCUAUUCUGCUCGCUCGACAACUCGUCACCACUGGGUCUACGCCAUCGGCUCCUCGUCUGGCUUUAACUUCGUCGUGGCCAGCAGCUUCAAUUCUGUGAGCGUCCAACGCCGCCCCCUGGUUCACUCUCUCCGUACGCACAUCGCCCUUGUCCCCUGUCCGUGUAGCAUAUCUCCGCGCUCUGCGUCAUCGCCGUCGUUGCUUUUGGAGUUCGUCAUGACGCGCUGUCGAUGAUCUGAGUAUAACGGGUGAUCUUUGCAAGUUCACCUAGCUUCGUGGUAAUUAAUUUUGAUGGCGAUCUGCGUUACUUAGCGCUAUGUUUGUUUCCUUUGUGUGUUUGUGUUUCGAUGUUGAAGCCGAAGCCAGCGUGAUGCUUCUCAGUUAUCUAUACUAUACUUAAAGCAUCA
Molecule: long non-coding RNA, 652 nt
Filed under: Zea mays
Lineage: Eukaryota; Viridiplantae; Streptophyta; Magnoliopsida; Poales; Poaceae
Description: drought-responsive long non-coding RNA
Source: RNAcentral